GACGAACGCUGGCGGCGUGCUUAACACAUGCAAGUCGAACGGAAAGGCCCUGCUUUUGUGGGGUGCUCGAGUGGCGAACGGGUGAGUAACACGUGAGUAACCUGCCCUUGACUUUGGGAUAACUUCAGGAAACUGGGGCUAAUACCGGAUAGGAGCUCCUGCUGCAUGGUGGGGGUUGGAAAGUUUCGGCGGUUGGGGAUGGACUCGCGGCUUAUCAGCUUGUUGGUGGGGUAGUGGCUUACCAAGGCUUUGACGGGUAGCCGGCCUGAGAGGGUGACCGGCCACAAUGGGACUGAGAUACGGCCCAGACUCCUACGGGAGGCAGCAGUGGGGAAUAUGGCGCAAUGGGCGGAAGCCUGAUGCAGCGACGCCGCGUGCGGAAUGACGGCCUUCGGGGUGUAAACCGCUUUCGCCUGUGACGAGGCGUGAGUGACGGUAAUGGGUAAAGAAGCACCGGCUAACUACGUG
RNAcentral lists this ribosomal RNA (468 nucleotides) under uncultured bacterium. RNAcentral describes it as "partial 16S ribosomal RNA". It matches the Rfam family "Bacterial small subunit ribosomal RNA", at positions 28 to 507 of the family's 1533-position model. The record is from RNAcentral.